This is a long non-coding RNA of Oncorhynchus tshawytscha (Chinook salmon), 275 nucleotides long. NCBI's taxonomy places the organism in Eukaryota, Metazoa, Chordata, Actinopteri, Salmoniformes, Salmonidae. The record is from Ensembl.
GUUGGUGGGGGAGAGAAGAGUGGCAGGGAGACAGGUUGGUGGGGAAAGAAGAGUGGCAGGGAGAGGGAGACAGGUUGGUGGGGAGAGAAGAGUGGCAGGGAGAGGGAGACAGGUUGGUGGGGAGAGAAGAGUGGCAGGGAGAGGGAGACAGGUUGGUGGGGAAAGAAGAGUGGCAGGGAGAGGGAGACAGGUUGGUGGGGGAGAGAAGAGUGGCAGGGAGAGGGAGACAGGUUGGUGGGGAGAGAAGAGUGGCAGGGAGAGGGAGACAGGUUGGU